RNAcentral lists this ribosomal RNA (499 nucleotides) under uncultured bacterium. RNAcentral describes it as "bacterial SSU rRNA". It matches the Rfam family "Bacterial small subunit ribosomal RNA", at positions 28 to 573 of the family's 1533-position model. The record is from RNAcentral.
AACGAACGCUGGCGGCAUGCCUAACACAUGCAAGUCGAACGCCCUGGUUCGCCAGGGAGUGGCGCACGGGUGAGUAACGCGUGGGAACCUGCCCGGCAGUACGGGACAACCGCGGGAAACUGCGGCUGAUACCGUAUACGGCCUGAGGGCGAAAGAAUUUCGCUGUCGGAGGGGCCCGCGUCGGAUUAGGUAGUUGGUGGGGUAACGGCCUACCAAGCCUGCGAUCCGUAGCUGGUCUGAGAGGAUGAUCAGCCACACUGGGACUGAGACACGGCCCAGACUCCUACGGGAGGCAGCAGUGGGGAAUAUUGGACAAUGGGCGCAAGCCUGAUCCAGCAAUGCCGCGUGAGUGAUGAAGGCCUUAGGGUUGUAAAGCUCUUUCGCCCGCGACGAUGAUGACGGUAGCGGGAGAAGAAGCCCCGGCUAACUCCGUGCCAGCAGCCGCGGUAAUACGGAGGGGCUAGCGUUGUUCGGAAUUACUGGGCGUAAAGGGCGCGCA